RNAcentral lists this ribosomal RNA (253 nucleotides) under uncultured bacterium. RNAcentral describes it as "partial 16S ribosomal RNA". It matches the Rfam family "Bacterial small subunit ribosomal RNA", at positions 524 to 776 of the family's 1533-position model. The record is from RNAcentral.
UACGGAGGGUGCAAGCGUUAAUCGGAAUUACUGGGCGUAAAGCGUGCGCAGGCGGUUUGUUAAGUCCGUUGUGAAAGCCCCGAGCUCAACUUGGGAAUUGCAGUGGAUACUGGCAGGCUGGAGUACGGUAGAGGAAGGUGGAAUUCCCGGUGUAGCAGUGAAAUGCGUAGAUAUCGGGAGGAACACCAGUGGCGAAGGCGGCUACCUGGACCAGCACUGACACUGAAGCACGAAAGCGUGGGGAGCAAACAGG